This 463-nucleotide ribosomal RNA is filed under the name uncultured bacterium. Its description in RNAcentral is "bacterial SSU rRNA". It matches the Rfam family "Bacterial small subunit ribosomal RNA", at positions 38 to 500 of the family's 1533-position model. The record is from RNAcentral.
GGCCGCGGGAAUUCCUUUAAAGGCUAACACAUGCAAGACGAACGGAGAAGCCAACCUUGAAUGGGGGAUCAGUGGCGAACGGGUGAGUAACACGUGAGCAACCUGCCCUGGACUCUGGGAUAAGCGCUGGAAACGGCGUCUAAUACUGGAUAUGAGACGUGAUCGCAUGGUCGUGUUUGGAAAGAUUUUUCGGUCUGGGAUGGGCUCGCGGCCUAUCAGCUUGUUGGUGAGGUAAUGGCUCACCAAGGCGUCGACGGGUAGCCGGCCUGAGAGGGUGACCGGCCACACUGGGACUGAGACACGGCCCAGACUCCUACGGGAGGCAGCAGUGGGGAAUAUUGCACAAUUUUUUCAAGCCUGAUGCAGCGACGCCGCGUGGGGGAUGAAGGGCUUCGGGUUGUAAACUCCUUUCAACCAUGACGAAGCAUUAUGUGACGGUAGUGGUAGAAGAAGCACCGGCUAA